GACGAACGCUGGCGGCGUGCUUAACACAUGCAAGUCGAACGGAAAGGUCCUGCUCUUGUUCGUUUCUCGAGUGGCGAACGCGUGAGUAACACGCGUGUAACCUGCCCUUAACUUUCUGAUAACAUCAGGAAACACCGGCGAUUACCCCAGAUGAGCUCCUGCUCCAUGGUGUUGUUUAGAAAGUUUCGGCUGUUGGGGAUGUACUCGCUGCUUAUGAGCCUGUUGGUGUGGUAGGGGAUUACGAAGGCUUUGACGGCUAGCCGACAUGGGAGGGGUACCGGCGACAUGGGGCCUAAGAUACGGACCAGAAUGCUAUGGGACGCAGCAGUGGGGAGUAUUGCAGAGUGGGGGGAAGCCUGAUGUAGAAACGCCGGGUGCGGGAUGACGGCCUUCGGGUGGUAAACAGCUUUCGAAGGUGACGAAGAGUGAGUGACGGUAAUGGGUAAAGAAGCAACGGCUAACUACGUG
This 468-nucleotide ribosomal RNA is filed under the name uncultured bacterium. RNAcentral's name for it is "partial 16S ribosomal RNA". It matches the Rfam family "Bacterial small subunit ribosomal RNA", at positions 28 to 507 of the family's 1533-position model. The record is from RNAcentral.